Molecule: long non-coding RNA, 152 nt
Organism: Dermochelys coriacea (leatherback sea turtle)
Lineage: Eukaryota; Metazoa; Chordata; Testudines; Dermochelyidae
Exons: 3
Source: RefSeq, a predicted model, not a curated record
GAAAAAUAUUUACUGUUUCUUGUGUGUCCUUAGCUAGUUGCUCUUCAGAUUCUUUCUUGGCCUGCCUUAUACUUUUAUAUUUGAUUUGCCAGAGUUUAUGCUCCUUUCAAUUUUCCUCACUAGGAUUUGGCUUCCAAUUUUUGAAGGAUAUC